UGGAUUGGAUAGACAAAUCUUUACCUGCCUU
This 31-nucleotide non-coding RNA is filed under the name Mus musculus (house mouse). The record is from RNAcentral. Lineage: Eukaryota; Metazoa; Chordata; Mammalia; Rodentia; Muridae.